GGAGGAGGGGCAUGGAGCCGCCGCGGGCCUGCUGAGCUCCGGAGCGCGGCAGCCGGCGGCACGCCUCGCCUCCCUCCUCCCCGGCGGCUCCUGUUUUGUGAAUGAAUUAGGAGGCGGACGCCGGUGCGGGGCUCCAGGCUGGCUGGGGUACCCCUCCCCCGCACCUUCUACGACCUCCCGGGGGUUUGCACCUGUCCGGGCACCAAGGUACCAGGCGCCCACGUUCCUGCGGGUUAGCCGGGCCGCGGCAGCACGUGUCCGGGGGAGUGGGCUCCCCUCCCCUGGCCGGCCUGGAGGGGCCCGGAGGGCGGCCGGGCACAAGAGGAGGAGCCCCGCUGGGCGCACAAGUUUCCAUGCCGCCGCGUGUGGCCCUGCCGCGGGGCGCACCUGUCAGCGGGAGAGACGCUGCACACCAGCAGCCCCUCAAAGUUUCGGAGGCUUGAUGGAGAAGCGUGCGUCCUUGACUGGGGGUUCUCCUUC
Molecule: small RNA, 480 nt
Filed under: Pan troglodytes (chimpanzee)
Lineage: Eukaryota; Metazoa; Chordata; Mammalia; Primates; Hominidae
Description: processed transcript
Source: RNAcentral